AUGCGACCCCCCCCCCGGGGGGGAGGAGGUCUCCCAUCCCCUUUCCUCCCUGCAGAUGCCUUUGACCAGCUUCCAAGGUGGCUCCAGUGGGGAGAGGAGGUUGUACGUGGCAGGCUUUUUUCUCACCAGUAACGCUUGACAUUGAUCCCUUUCUUAGUAUUAUGAACUUUUAUACGUAACGCACUUCUAGUAUGGAGGCUGUUGUCUGUAUUGGAGAGUGAAUAAUCUGAGCAAUCCUUGCGGCUUGCACUUUUGUGGAGGUCUCGAUUGUUUUUGGGAGGAACCCUGGGAAGGGGCAAAAUGGAUAGAGGUGAGCAAACACGCACAUGCAUGCCAUUAUCUUGAAAAAGAGUUGGAAUGGCCGGUUCUAAACAGCUGCUCUUGUUUUGAUCAGAGCCCAUGUUGCAAAGCGUACUUAACAUGCCCUCCUUAUGGCACUUUUCGCCUUCAUAUGGUCCAGAUCUUCCUUUGGCCAGCGUGCCUAAGAGACCAACGCUGUCAAAAUCAUCUGUUUGCCAUUGCGAGGAUCAUCGCUGAGAGAUAAUUUCCAGUGUGAAGGUUCUGGCUAUGGAAGAGAUCGUAGGAACGGUCCGCAUCAGAGGUCCCUGAGAAGAGUCUCAGACCAAGGCCACGUCUCUUGUCUGCAGCUGGGGUUGACUGCUCCAGGUCCCCGAAGACAACGAACGUGCACUUGAUAUCCCAGAGCGUUCGUCAGAGAAACGACGAGCAUCAGUGAUCGACGACGUGAUCUCUGCUGGAGAUGGGGAGCGGCAGACCGAUUCACGCAAAGGAGAUGCUGGUAGUCCCGUCAUUCGUGAGGCCAACGCCAGGAAGGAGCUGCGUGGAACCGUAAGCGGGGCGCUAGCUGUGCCGAGAAGGAGAAACCCGGAGUCUAAAUGAGGGUCCCACGGGUCAAAUCGCACGUGAACAGGGCCCGCUUCAGGACCCACCGCCCUCCUGAAGGGCACAAAGCCCUCCCCACUCAUGGUCUGCACGCUGCCGCCGCCCCUCCUUUUUGGAAUAUCGGCGACAGAGGCCUUUCGCCACUCCUGGAAAAUGGGCUGGGGCUGGGGCUGGGCCUGCCGCGGCAUUUUGUGGAAUGCCGCAAUCCAAUCCGGCUCUUCACUUUCGUAGCUCUGGAUAUGCGCCUGUGGGGAGACAUGACACUCAACAUGGCUGAAGGGCAAGGCCCCUCUCCGGAUCGGACACUACCAACAUGGCGAGCACCGAAAGCGCGUUACUUCUCCGCGCCGCAGGCGCCGCAGGCUUCUCAUGCCCAGCAUGGCUGCCUGAAGGCAACGUUAGGCUUCUUGCUGCCCUUCCUGCCUCUCCUGCCAUGGCCGCCCGAGGGAAGGGAAGGGAAGGGAAGUGGGGCCGGUGGGGCGGGAAGGGCUGCUCCUCCCCAGUCUGCGAAGAUGGGGGAGGGGGGGUUCCACUGCCCCCCGCAUCUCUCGCUCCCCCCCAACCCCCAAGCAGGGAGCCCCGCCCCCUCCAUGGAAGUCCGGGCAGAUAUGCCGCCUCCAGCGGAGAGGCCCCGGGAGGCCAGGCGGGCCUUGCCGGAGAAGCCCUUCUCUCACAUGUAUGUGCAAAGUGCCAUGGCUUGUGAGCUUGCCUUGGAUGGGGGCGGAGAUCCUCCAUUCCUCCCCCCCGCACCCCGCAACAGGAAUCUGGCGUGCGGCUCGGCUUUCAUGGGCGCAGAGUGAAUACCCUGGAAAUGGGGGAAAUGGAUAGAGAUGAGCAAACACGCACAUGCCUGUCAUUAUCUGGACGGUGAGUUAUCUGGACAGUAUCAGCAUUUUGGACAGAUUUUGCGUGCCUUCCCCAGACUCUCCUUCCAGGGAUCCGGCAGAUGCGCUGACGCACUGGGCAGGUUGGCAGAAUGCUUCCAAGUUCACAGUGGGCACUUUUGACCCUAACCUUAACCCACCCAGUUCACCACUGGUUAGACAAAUCGCUCCCUACACACAGGCUGUACGUACAGCUCACACUUCACUGUUGUGUUUUUUUAUGUAAGAGCAUUAAAGCAUGGUCCAGCCCUUAUUUCCACCUCCCACCUGUUUCUAAUAUUGGGGACAGCGCUCUUCCACCCAAUAUAUGCAGGGCUUUCCGGCUACUUCAGAGAAAUGGGCUGGGGUUGGGAAGCCAGGGGACCUUCUGGAAUCCCACAUUACAGUGUGCAGAACUGGAACUACAGCUCUACAUUUUUCCAGAUCAAUAUAAGCGGCUCUCUCGCGUCAUGGCACUACCAAUAUGGCUGACAGUUAAAUUCACUACUCUGCGUCUGACGCUUCCAACAUGGCAUAUCCCCAGACUUUUCGUCACUUCCCUCCCGCCCCGGAAGUCCUGGUGUUCCUUGACACAACUGGAAUGGCUGCCUGAGGAAGACGCGCAGCUUUUUCCUGCCUGCCCGCUCUUUGGAAGCGGGGUCCCCCCUGCCUCUCCUGAUAUGGCCGCGUGGAGGAUAAGGAGGGGCGGAAUUGCUGGGUGGGAAGAAGAACGGCUUCUCCCCUUCUCUUGUCGCUAAAGGCAGGCAGGCUUGCUGUACUCCCCUUGCAUCGCAACCCCCUCCAGGAGGCUCUUCACUGUCUGCCAAAGGAGUUCAGGCUCUUCCGAGGAAACGACACCCGCUGCAAGCGGAGAAAUCCCAGGAAAGCCCGGCGGGGCACUGCUGGAGCAGCUUCCUUCUUGCGUGUUCUUGCAACACAGGAGGAAUUUUGGCUGCUUGCCGCUGAUGGGGAGGGGCUCCUUGCUUACCUGCCCACCCCCGCCGCACAGUGAACAGAACAUAAAGUUGGUCUUUAAUGGUGCAAUUGGGAUGUCCUUUGAAAUGGUACAGCGGCAUUUCCGUAUCAGAUUUAGCAGGGAGCAAGUCCCCUCUGCACUCAAUAGGGUUUGCUUCCUAGCUGGCAUGCACAGGAUCAAAGCACAUUUAACUGUAGGGUACAGUAGUACCCUCAUGAUUGAUUGGCCUUGGCAGCCAAAAAAUUGGUGUGAAAUUAAGUACUCUAUCAAAGAUGUCUCCUGAAUGUUUUUCUGAUACUGCAGAAGGGCCAGUGCUAGGAUUAGUUGUGCUUGAAAUACUAGUGUUUGUACUAGCACUGGACCAGUAUUUGUUGUGGUUGUAAUCUGUGCUGGUAGGAACAGGACAGUCAUACCCAUGGGAAUACUGGCAUAAUAAUUGUGGUGUUUAGGUAUGUCUCUAUAAAAGGUCUGUUGCUGUGAGAAGAGGCUUAUAUAAGCCAGGAAGUAGGUGUGUACACAUGCAGUAAGGUGUUGUUUUAACUUGUUUGGUCUUAAAUAAAUACCAAUAUUUGGAGUGGAGGCUUCAGGUAGUCAUGGACAGUAUGGAGGUGUAGGACCUGCUGAACAUGGGAGAUGGGUCUAUGGAAGAACAAAAUAAAGAGGAGGCAAUCUCUCUGGUACAGAGCGGUUCUGCCUUUCAUACUGCAGAUGGUUUGAUUCAGGAUCCUAGGUUCCAUGCAGCCUCCCCUGAUCCUUCAGACUGCCCCAUCUUCUCCAUUCCCCUUUGAUUCUAAUCUCCCACGUUUGCCUUAGUCCCUUCCCUUACUGCCUGACCACCCUACCUCCCAUCAACCCUUUGUCCUGUCUCUUUUUAGUCGAGCUACGUCACAGAGGGAUAGUGAUGCAUGAUAGCAAAGGUUUACAUGGUGCAUCUAUGAGGCAGACAGUCAAAUCUGAGGCAACCAGUAUGAAUGCUUUGUAGUGGAUUCUUUGAUGUAGUCUCAGAAGGAAUCAUUUAAAUAUAGACCAACGUUGCAACUUCAAAAUACAGCAGGACCCCCAUAUCUGUGAGAAUAAGCUCCAAGAAACCAUGGCUGAUAUAAAACACUAUACAUUGUACAUACGCAUUUCUUUUUCCCGAUUUCAUGGAUAGAUUAAUUCCUAUCAUACAUCUUAGCAACCUUAGCAUAUGAUUUUUUUUCUUUUUCCCUACUAAAUAGAGAAUUUUCAUUUAAAGGAAGCACUUCAUGACAUCUCUUUUGGAUCACAGUCAACCACAGUAAAGUGAAAAAGCUGUAACAGAACCAGUAGAUACAGGAUUCUAUAGGUACAAGACAACCAUAUUUAACUAAACUGUUGUUCAAAUUGAAGGAAGCAAUAGGUGAAAUUUAAAGUUCAAUUAACCUUGAAUUAAAAAGGGUUUCAUGGUUAAUUUAGGGAUUUUUAACUUAUGUACUAUACCAGUAAAUCAUUUGUGUUUGUUUAUUGUAUCUUCUAAAACCUCUACUGAUCGUUCAUGGCAUCUUUAAAUAUCCUUGUAUAGAACAUCAAUGGAAUAAAAAAACUCAAUCCAGAGGGAAUAAAUGUUGGCUUUAUUUUAAAAAUUUCAUCAGGAUGUUUAUUUUGUGCAAGGAACUCUUAAGGUUGAUGAGGGUUACAUAGCCAGUGUCAAAGGUUGUGGAUCCUGGGACCUUCAUAUUGACCCUAUGGAGAAGAGCACCGGGCAGUGGUAGGCAUCUUAUUUCAAUCUACAAAUAGAUUUGGUCUUGGAGGCAAUUCCGAGCAACUUAUUGGUUAUGGACUUCUCUAUUGAUGUCACCAUAUCGGAUGUUGGUUGGGGGAGAGUGGUCAGUUUUUUUAGCAGUUUGUUAUGCUCCAGUUAGAUCAGUGGUUCCCAAACUUUUCUAUGCUGUGAACCCCCAGAAAUUCUGAAGAUGAAUCUGUCAAAUUUCUAAUUUUUGAACCAUAAACUGAACCACACAGAGUACUAUGGGUGAACAAAUUGAACUCAAAAAAUAAGCUUUUGACUCAGUGCAUGAAAUUCAAAUAUAAUUUGAGCAAUUACAAAAACAAAAAAGUAAAUUCCUGCUUCAAAUUCACAAUUUUGUCAAAAUGUGAAAUGUACUUGUUGAUUCCAAUCUGCAAGUCUGCCUGUGCAUUCAGGCAAUUCCUAGAUUUUGUCUUUAUUUGUCUUGAUUGAGAAAAGAGAACAGAAUCCAAAUGCAAAUAAAAUAAUAAAUAAUUUUAUUACUGGGAUGAUUUUUGGCAGAAAAUGUGAUUUGCCAAUUUUGAGAAUUGUGACACAGCCUUCCUCUUUGUCACACCCCCUGAAAUGCUACCAUGCACCCCCUAGGGUUAGGGUUCUCUCUCUCUUCAGUACCUGUAGCUACUUUAUUGUUACUGUAUUAGUAUCAUUAUUACAAUGCUCCAUUGUGUUUAAGAUGUUUUAAUGAAUAUGGAAGUGUUUCUUAAGGGUUUUAUAUGCAUAGAAAAGUGAAAUAUAUACAUAUACUACAACAUAUUUUUGGCUUACUCCUGUGAUCUGACUUACAAAUUCAACUUAAGGGCAGUCUUAGGAAUGGGACUUAUCCAUAACCCAGGGACUAACUGUAUAUGUUGGUUACUGGUAUAUACCAAAUAACUUAUCAGUCUAUGCUUUAGACAUGGCAACCAAACUUUUCACUGUGUGGAUCGUAAGAAGCUAUUGUCCUGAUGAGUAGUCUUUACAGACAAGCAGCAGCAGACAACUGAAGCAACUCCUGAUGAAAGUGAAAGAAGAUAGUGUAAAACUAGGACUGCAACUAUUAAUCAAACCAAAAUCAUGACUACAGAAGUACACUAAUGUCCACAAUUAAAAAAUUGAAAUUGGGAAAGCUUUCAUAUACCUUGGCUUAGUCAACAAUUCAAAAAGAAACUGCAGCCAAGAAAUUAGCAGAAGACUGAGACUUGGAUGGAUAGCAAUGAAGGAACUUAGGAAGAUCAUCAAGUGUAAGUAUGUUCCACUGGAGACAAAGGCCAAGAUCAUCCACACUAUUAUACUCCCUCUUACUGUAUGGCUGUGAAACCUAGACAGUGAAGAAAGCUGACAGAAGAAAAUGGAUGCUGGAAGUGAGCUUUGGAAAUACCCUAAACCAGGGGUCAGCAACCUGUGGCUCUAGAGCUGCAUGUGGCUCUUGAAUCCCUCUGCUGCGGCUCCGUCGCUCAAAAUAUGUGUCACAGCCUCCGACCUGCGACCCACGCCAGCACAGCCGCCAAUCUGCUAUGCAUGCUGGUUUAUUGAGCUGCUCACAAUUUACUGAACUUUUUCCCCUGGUAGGCCUCACAGGCAACAGCUUACUAUCCUGUGUGAAGAUGGUGACAUCUUACAGCCCUGAUGUGCAGACACUGUGUGCUGAGGUUCAGGAGCAAAAAUCGCAUUGACUGGGUUGACAGCUGACUGCACCCUUCAGUACACGUGAUAAAAGGAUGACGGCACACAUA
Varanus komodoensis (Komodo dragon) is the source of this 6222-nucleotide long non-coding RNA. RefSeq lists it as uncharacterized. The record is from RefSeq and is a predicted model, not a curated record. The transcript is spliced from 5 exons. Lineage: Eukaryota; Metazoa; Chordata; Lepidosauria; Squamata; Varanidae.